UGCCAGCCGCCGCGGUAAUACGGAGGGUGCGAGCGUUAAUCGGAAUUACUGGGCGUAAAGCGUGCGCAGGCGGAUUGUUAAGCAAGACGUGAAAUCCCCGGGCUUAACCUGGGAAUGGCGUUUUGAACUGGCAGUCUAGAGUGCGUCAGAGGGGGGUGGAAUUCCACGUGUAGCAGUGAAAUGCGUAGAGAUGUGGAGGAACACCGAUGGCGAAGGCAGCCCCCUGGGAUGACACUGACGCUCAUGUACGAAAGCGUGGGUAGCAAACAGGAUUAGAUA
RNAcentral lists this ribosomal RNA (279 nucleotides) under uncultured bacterium. Its description in RNAcentral is "partial 16S ribosomal RNA". It matches the Rfam family "Bacterial small subunit ribosomal RNA", at positions 506 to 784 of the family's 1533-position model. The record is from RNAcentral.